AAUGGCUGUAGUCUUCGGGCGACCGAGACAAGUGGUGCAUGGUUGUCGUCAGCUCGUGUCGUGAGAUGUUGGGUUAAGUCCCCCAACGAGCGCAACCCUUGUCCUUAUUAGCCACCACGUCAAGGUGGGCACUCUAUGGAGACUGCCCGGGAUAACCCGGGGGAAGGGGGGGAUGACAUCAAAUCAUCUUGCCCCUUAUGACCAGGGCUACACACGUGCUACAAUGUGGUAAACAAAGGGAAAAGAAGGAGCGAUCCGGAGCAAAACCCCCAAAUAACGCCUCCCUUCUGAUUGUGGGCUGCACCUCUCCUGUAUGAAACUCUAAUAUCUAUAAAUCUCACAUAUCAAUGCUGCGGUGAAUACGUUCCCCGGGCUUGUACACACCGAGAAAUAUUG
RNAcentral lists this ribosomal RNA (396 nucleotides) under uncultured Escherichia sp. RNAcentral describes it as "bacterial SSU rRNA". It matches the Rfam family "Bacterial small subunit ribosomal RNA", at positions 1005 to 1402 of the family's 1533-position model. Lineage: Bacteria; Pseudomonadati; Pseudomonadota; Gammaproteobacteria; Enterobacterales; Enterobacteriaceae. The record is from RNAcentral.